GCCAUUGUUAAAUUUCUCUUCAGGUGCUCGCCACUGCAUAAUGUUAGCAGACCAUGGGAACAAUCCUCUGAUCAGUUUUCUCAGUACCCAGCUACCAUGUUAUUGACAGCUGAUCAUGAUGAUCGGGUUGUGCCAUUACACUCAUUAAAGUUAUUAGCGACCAUGCAAUAUGUUUUGUGCACAAGCUUGGAAAAGAGCCCACAGAAAAACCCAAUCGUUGGAAAAGAACCUACAGAAAAACUCAAAAAAUGAUUGAUGAAGCUGCAGA
This is a non-coding RNA of Camellia sinensis, 268 nucleotides long. Lineage: Eukaryota; Viridiplantae; Streptophyta; Magnoliopsida; Ericales; Theaceae. The record is from RefSeq and is a predicted model, not a curated record.